This 686-nucleotide long non-coding RNA is filed under the name Phoenix dactylifera (date palm). RNAcentral describes it as "long non-coding RNA (PDAC_LNC019453)". Lineage: Eukaryota; Viridiplantae; Streptophyta; Magnoliopsida; Arecales; Arecaceae. The record is from RNAcentral.
GAUGCUUGGGAGGUGAUCACGGAAGCUUUGAAACGCUGAUGAUGUGCUGGAUGGUUGCCGAAGGAAGCUGAGACGCGUGGGAUGCGAGGAAGAUUGGGAGCUCUGGGACGCAGACGCGGCAGCUGAUCGCGGACGGCUGGGAGGCACGGGAGAAACGGAUGCUGCGGGAUCUGAUAUGAGUUCGGAAGCAUGGGAUGCGGCUGCCGGGAUGAUCGCGAGAAUGGGAAUGGACGCUGGCUCACACGCGGAAAAGGAAUGGCUGAAGAGCUGGCCGCGGGAUGGAUUGCGUGAGAAGCGCGGGAUCCUGAGCUCGGAGGUGAUCGCGGGAUGCUGGAGAUGCACGUGGGAGAAGAAGCUCGGACGCCGUGGAGGAGACACGUUGAUCACGGAAUGAUCGCUGAUGUGGCCACUUUCUUCCUUUUGGAUCUUCUCGGCUUGAUAAACCUAAGCCCUCGGAUGUCCCAUUGCGCGUUGCCUUAGGAUGGCUGCCAUAUAUCCCUCGAGUGCAAGUGUGCUUGAUGAAUGGUGGGUUCGAUCAGACCAUGACGAGGUUGGGCGUAUGUGGUCUGAGUGAUGCAUUUGUCUAGGCCCAAUUUAUACUAAAUGCGCAUUGUAACUUUGAUUUAUGAUCACCUGCACCCAAUCAAAAAUAUAAUAUUAAAUUAGUGAUAAUAUUGUCAUCCGUU